This 31-nucleotide non-coding RNA is filed under the name Rattus norvegicus (Norway rat). The record is from RNAcentral. Lineage: Eukaryota; Metazoa; Chordata; Mammalia; Rodentia; Muridae.
UGUCAUUGAAAGUUCUUGAUGUUCUUGGUGU